Molecule: ribosomal RNA, 773 nt
Filed under: uncultured Streptococcus sp.
Lineage: Bacteria; Bacillati; Bacillota; Bacilli; Lactobacillales; Streptococcaceae
Description: bacterial SSU rRNA
Rfam family: Bacterial small subunit ribosomal RNA
Source: RNAcentral
GACGAACGCUGGCGGCGUGCCUAAUACAUGCAAGUAGAACGCACAGGAUGCACCGUAGUUUACUACACCGUAUUCUGUGGGUUGCGAACGGGUGAGUAACGCGUAGGUAACCUGCCUGGUAGCGGGGGAUAACUAUUGGAAACGAUAGCUAAUACCGCAUAAGAACAUUUACUGCAUGGUAGAUGUUUAAAAGGUGCAAAUGCAUCACUACCAGAUGGACCUGCGUUGUAUUAGCUAGUUGGUGAGGUAACGGCUCACCAAGGCAACGAUACAUAGCCGACCUGAGAGGGUGAUCGGCCACACUGGGACUGAGACACGGCCCAGACUCCUACGGGAGGCAGCAGUAGGGAAUCUUCGGCAAUGGGGGGAACCCUGACCGAGCAACGCCGCGUGAGUGAAGAAGGUUUUCGGAUCGUAAAGCUCUGUUGUUAAGGAAGAACGUGUGUGAGAGUGGAAAGUUCACACAGUGACGGUACUUAACCAGAAAGGGACGGCUAACUACGUGCCAGCAGCCGCGGUAAUACGUAGGUCCCGAGCGUUGUCCGGAUUUAUUGGGCGUAAAGCGAGCGCAGGCGGUUAGAUAAGUCUGAAGUGAAAGGCAGUGGCUCAACCAUUGUAGGCUUUGGAAACUGUUUAACUUGAGUGCAGAAGGGGAGAGUGGAAUUCCAUGUGUAGCGGUGAAAUGCGUAGAUAUAUGGAGGAACACCGGUGGCGAAAGCGGCUCUCUGGUCUGUAACUGACGCUGAUGCUCGAAAGCGUGGGGAGCGAACAGG